AGAACUUAGCAGAGAUGCUUUGGUGCCUUCGGGAACUCUGAGACAGGUGCUGCAUGGCUGUCGUCAGCUCGUGUUGUGAAAUGUUGGGUUAAGUCCCGCAACGAGCGCAACCCUUAUCCUUUGUUGCCAGCGGUUAGGCCGGGAACUCAAAGGAGACUGCCAGUGAUAAACUGGAGGAAGGUGGGGAUGACGUCAAGUCAUCAUGGCCCUUACGAGUAGGGCUACACACGUGCUACAAUGGCGCAUACAAGAGAAGCGACCUCGCGAGAGCAAGCGGACCUCAUAAAGUGCGUCGUAGUCCGGAUUGGAGUCUGCAACUCGACUCCAUGAAGUCGGAAUCGCUAGUAAUCGUGGAUCAGAAUGCCACGGUGAAUACGUUCCCGGGCCUUGUACACACCGCCCGUCACACCAUGGGAGUGGGUUGCAAAAGAAGUAGGUAGCUUAACCUUCGGGAGGGCGCUUACCACUUUGUGAUUCAUGACUGGGGUGAAGUCGUAACAAGGUAAGCGUAGUGCU
RNAcentral lists this ribosomal RNA (516 nucleotides) under uncultured bacterium. RNAcentral's name for it is "bacterial SSU rRNA". It matches the Rfam family "Bacterial small subunit ribosomal RNA", at positions 992 to 1509 of the family's 1533-position model. The record is from RNAcentral.